GCUAUAGAGCACUCUUGGUGGCGAUCCCCUUCUCUCUCACGCCACAUGAAGAGGACUGCUGUUCACCCCCUCGCAGUUGCUUCUAGAGGACGCAACCACGCGCGCGCUCUAGAAGAAACGACCGGAUCCAUUUCCCUCGACUGCGUUGUGUCGCGCCGCCGCUAUCCAAUCCAACACCGAUGUUGUGCCGUGCCGCCGCCAUCGGGAGUCGGGACGACGUCCGCCGAGUGGCUGUGGCAAGGCGACGACCCAGCGCAUGACAAGUAGAGGAGGCGAGGAGCAGCCGCCGACCGCCGUCUGCCGAGGCAAUCGCCGCCAUCGGAAGUCGGGACCGCGUCCGCCGAGUGGCUGUGGCAACGACCCAACGCAGGAUGAGCACCGUCGACCGCCGUUCACCGAGGCAACGACACAACCAUGCAGAGUCAUUGCUUCAUCACUGAAAAGAAGUUUGAACGGUGUGAACUCAAUGGAUUAGGAGACUAUAGUGUUGUGACUCCACACAACCUUUGUCAGUUCUUUUACCAAAUUUUCCUUUGACAAACUGAUCAAGGAUUUGAAGAUGCUAAGUAGAAUGAUUUUGUUUGCUCUUUCCACCAGACCGUUAGACUCAGGUGCCUUAUAUAUAUGCAAAGUGUACAAUUGUUCCCACUUAGCCACAAAAACAGUAUAAAUAUUUUAGAGUCAA
Long non-coding RNA from Zea mays, 685 nucleotides. RefSeq lists it as uncharacterized. NCBI's taxonomy places the organism in Eukaryota, Viridiplantae, Streptophyta, Magnoliopsida, Poales, Poaceae. The record is from RefSeq and is a predicted model, not a curated record. The transcript is spliced from 2 exons.